CCCAAUCCCGACACGGGGAGGUAGUGACAAUAAAUAACAAUAUAGGGCUCUUUCGGGUCUUAUAAUUGGAAUGAGUACAAUUUAAAUCCCUUAACGAGGAACAAUUGGAGGGCAAGUCUGGUGCCAGCAGCCGCGGUAAUUCCAGCUCCAAUAGCGUAUAUUAAAGUUGUUGCAGUUAAAAAGCUCGUAGUUGAACUUCAGGCCUGGCUGGGCGGUCCGCCUAACGGUGUGUACUGUCUGGCUGGGACUUACUUCUUGGUGAGCCGGUGUGCCCUUUAUUGGCGUGCAUCGGGGAACCAGGACUU
Molecule: ribosomal RNA, 305 nt
Filed under: uncultured fungus
Lineage: Eukaryota; Fungi
Description: SSU rRNA
Rfam family: Eukaryotic small subunit ribosomal RNA
Source: RNAcentral